UGUGUAAAGCAUCUAAUUUUGUUUUACUCAAGAGACUACACUAGUUAAUGCACCCAUCACUGGAGAAGUGAGAGGAAGUAGGAGAUGCAAGUGAAGAGGAGGUCGAAGAAGAGCAGUAGUGGAAAUCAAUCUGCAGUCUCUGGAGGAGAGAGAAUGUAGAAACUUUUCCUUUUUUCUCUUCCUCCUCAAGUUCCUUUAGUGGUAUGGCAGCCAGGAAUCUUU
RNAcentral lists this unclassified non-coding RNA (222 nucleotides) under Hevea brasiliensis (rubber tree). The record is from RNAcentral. Lineage: Eukaryota; Viridiplantae; Streptophyta; Magnoliopsida; Malpighiales; Euphorbiaceae.